RNAcentral lists this ribosomal RNA (253 nucleotides) under uncultured bacterium. Its description in RNAcentral is "partial 16S ribosomal RNA". It matches the Rfam family "Bacterial small subunit ribosomal RNA", at positions 524 to 776 of the family's 1533-position model. The record is from RNAcentral.
UACGGGGGGGGCAAGCGUUGUUCGGAAUUACUGGGCGUAAAGGGUUCGUAGGUGGCUUGCUAAGUCAGACGUGAAAUCCCUCAGCUUAACUGGGGAACUGCGUCUGAUACUGGCGAGCUUGAGUGCAGGAGAGGAACGCGGAAUUCCAGGUGUAGCGGUGAAAUGCGUAGAUAUCUGGAGGAACACCGGUGGCGAAGGCGGCUCUCUGGACCGAGACUGACGCUGAGGCGCGAAAGCGUGGGGAGCAAACAGG